UACGUAGGGGGCUAGCGUUGUCCGGAUUUAUUGGGCGUAAAGAGCGUGUAGGCGGCCAGGUAGGUCUGGUGUGAAAACUCGAGGCUUAACCUCGAGAUGUCAUCGGAAACCAUCUGGCUAGAGUCCGGAAGAGGAGAGUGGAAUUCCUGGUGUAGCGGUGAAAUGCGCAGAUAUCAGGAGGAACACCGGUGGCGAAGGCGGGUCUCUGGACCGAUACUGACGCUGAGGAGCGAAAGCGUGGGGAGCGAACAGG
RNAcentral lists this ribosomal RNA (253 nucleotides) under uncultured bacterium. Its description in RNAcentral is "partial 16S ribosomal RNA". It matches the Rfam family "Bacterial small subunit ribosomal RNA", at positions 524 to 776 of the family's 1533-position model. The record is from RNAcentral.